UAAAUUGCAUCGCUGAAUCCUUAAAAUCCUUUUAAGAAGCGGGGGAACCAAUUUUUUGGGGUGAAUCAUAUUGAAGGGCUUAUCCUUGGCCCUAACCCGACAGCUAACCUCGUAAGCGCAUAAGGUAGUCAUA
This 133-nucleotide small RNA is filed under the name Clostridiales bacterium. RNAcentral's name for it is "c-di-AMP sequence". It matches the Rfam family "c-di-AMP riboswitch aptamer (ydaO/yuaA leader)". From Rfam's summary of the family: This family represents a conserved RNA structure found upstream of the ydaO and yuaA genes in Bacillus subtilis and related genes in other bacteria. The ydaO/yuaA element is thought to act as a genetic "off" switch for the ydaO and yuaA genes in its native state. It is believed that the element may be triggered during osmotic shock leading to activation of ydaO, a predicted amino acid transporter gene, and members of the yuaA-yubG operon which code for KtrA and KtrB K+ transporters. The record is from RNAcentral. Lineage: Bacteria; Bacillati; Bacillota; Clostridia; Eubacteriales.